AGCUUUCUGAGUCCAUGCUGAAAUUUCGUCAGACACCAACCCAUUAGGGCUGAUGAGACUUCCAAGAUAAGUGAAGUU
MicroRNA precursor from Schistosoma mansoni, 78 nucleotides. It matches the Rfam family "mir-3492 microRNA precursor family". Lineage: Eukaryota; Metazoa; Platyhelminthes; Trematoda; Strigeidida; Schistosomatidae. The record is from Rfam.